Molecule: ribosomal RNA, 447 nt
Filed under: uncultured bacterium
Lineage: Bacteria
Description: partial 16S ribosomal RNA
Rfam family: Bacterial small subunit ribosomal RNA
Source: RNAcentral
GCCAGACUCCUACGGGAGGCAGCAGUGGGGGAUAUUGCACAAUGGGGGGAACCCUGAUGCAGCGACGCCGCGUGGGUGAAGGAGCGUUUCGGCGCGUAAAGCCCUAUCGGCAGGGAAGAAGGAGGACGGUACCUGACUAAGAAGCCCCGGCUAACUACGUGCCAGCAGCCGCGGUAAUACGUAGGGGGCAAGCGUUAUCCGGGUUUACUGGGUGUAAAGGGGGCGCAGACGGCAGCGCAAGCCAGGAGUGAAAGCCCGGGGCCCAACCCCGGGACUGCUCUUGGAACUGCGCGGCUGGAGUGCAGGAGGGGCAGGCGGAAUUCCUGGUGUAGCGGUGAAAUGCGUAGAUAUCAGGAGGAACACCGGUGGCGAAGGCGGCCUGCUGGACUGCGACUGACGUUGAGGCCCGAAAGCGUGGUGAGCAAACAGGAUUAGAUACCCCAGUAC